Molecule: ribosomal RNA, 484 nt
Filed under: uncultured bacterium
Lineage: Bacteria
Description: SSU rRNA
Rfam family: Bacterial small subunit ribosomal RNA
Source: RNAcentral
AGAACGAACGCUGGCGGCGUGGAUAAGACAUGCAAGUCGAACGCGACUUAUUUUGUUAGCAAUAACAGAGUAAGUUGAGUGGCGAAAGGGUGCGUAACACGUGGGAAUUUACCAAGAAGUGGGGAAUAGCUCGACGAAAGUCGAAUUAAUACCGCAUAUGAUCGCAAGAUCAAAGCCGGGGACCGCAAGGCCUGGCGCUUUUUGAGAAGCCCGCGGCCCAUCAGCUAGUUGGCGAGGUAAAAGCUCACCAAGGCUAUGACGGGUAGCUGGUCUGAGAGGACGACCAGCCACACUGGAACUGAGACACGGUCCAGACACCUACGGGUGGCAGCAGUCGAGAAUUUUUCACAAUGGACGAAAGUCUGAUGGAGCGACGCCGCGUGGAGGAUGAAGGUUUUCGGAUUGUAAACUCCUGUCACUGCAGACAAGGAUGUGUGUAUGAAUAGUACAUGCAUUUGAUGGUAUGCGGAGGAGGAAGGGACGG